This 2885-nucleotide ribosomal RNA is filed under the name Limisphaerales bacterium. RNAcentral describes it as "Verrucomicrobia subdivision 3 bacterium (sediment metagenome) 23S ribosomal RNA". It matches the Rfam family "Bacterial large subunit ribosomal RNA". The record is from RNAcentral. Lineage: Bacteria; Pseudomonadati; Verrucomicrobiota; Verrucomicrobiia; Limisphaerales.
AUUUGUGAUCAAGCUACCAAGGGCCGAUGGUGAAUGCCUUGGUGCCAAGAGGCGAAGAAGGACGUAGCAAGUUGCGAAAAGCCCCGAGUAGCCGCAAGCAGGCGAUGAUCCGGGGAUUUCCGAAUGGGGCAACCCACCGGCUUACGCCGGUGUCCGAGGGUCAAUUCAUAGCCCUAGGACGCGAGACGGGGUGAAGUGAAACAUCUCAGUAACCCCAGGAAAAAAACACAACGUGAUUCCGUUAGUAGUGGCGAGCGAACGCGGAACAGCCCAAACUGGGGGGACUUGUCCUCCCAGGGUUGAGGGACUCUGAAGUGACCGAAGCCGUGACAGUGGAAUGUCUUGGAAAAGAUAGCCGGAGACCGUGACAGCCGGGUACACGACGUAACGGCCAAGUCUAUGAGCAUCCCAAGUAGCACGGUGCACGUGAAACCCCGUGCGAAUCUGUCCGGACCACCGGAUAAGGCUAAAUACUCCUUGGCAACCGAUAGUGAACAAGUACCGCGAGGGAAAGGUGAAAAGCACCCCUGUUAGGGGAGUGAAAGAGUGCCUGCAACCAUUGGCCUACAAUGUGUGGGAGCCCGCAAGGGUGACCGCCUGCCUUUUGCAUAAUGAGUCUGCGAGUUAUUGCCCGCGGCCAGCCUAAGCCGAAUCACGGUGCAGGCGAAGGGAAACCAAGUGCCAACCGCGCGUUAAGUCGCGGGCAAUAGACCCGAAGCGGAGGUGAUCUACUCUUGAGCAGGUUGAAGCCUGGUUAACACCAGGUGAAGGACCGAACUCGUGGAUGUUGAAAAAUCCUGAGAUGACUUGAGAGUAGGAGCGAAAGACUAAUCAAACCCCGUGAUAGCUGGUUCUCUCCGAAAUAGUUUGAGGACUAGAGUUGGGUCAGUACUCUGCGGAGGUAGAGCACUGGAUGGCUUAGGGUCCCCACCAGGAUACCAAAACCAAUCAAACUCCGAAUUCCGCAGAUCCCAGUAUCCCAGCAUUCAGGCGGCGAGGGCUAAGCUUCGUCGCCAAGAGGGCAACAGCCCAGACCACCGGCCAAGGUGCCACAAUGCAGUUCAGUGAAAAGGAUGUGACGCUGCUAAGACAGUGAGGAUGUUGGCUUAGAGGCAGCCAUCAUUUAAACAGUGCGUAACAGCUGACUCAUCGAGCGGUGUCGCGCCGAAAAUGAUUGGCGAUCAAACUGCAUACCGAAGCCGUGGGGGGAUCAUCCGGUUCGCUGGAAAUCCUCGGUAGGAGAGCGUGACCAACGCGGUGAAGCCUGACGGUAACGAAAGGUGGAGCGCUUGGUCAGUGAGAAUGCAGACACGAGUAGCGAUAAACCGGGUUUAAAUCCCGGUCGCCGUAAACCUAAGGUUUCCUGGGGCAGGUUCGUCCUCCCAGGGUUAGUCGGGAGCUAAGGCGAGGCUGUAGAGCGUAGCCAAUGCCCGGCAGGUCAACAUUCCUGCACCAAGCCAGGUCAAGACGAAGGGGACGCAGAGAGGAAGGUGACUAUCCAACUGAAUCGGGAGCAGCGGCUUCGGCCAAAGCGCAUCACCGGACAAUCUGCCAAGAAAAGCCUUCGUUCGUUUCCUGGUUUGCCCGUACCGUAAACCGACACAGGUGGGUGAGUGUAAACGCACUCAGGCGCGCGAGAGAAACCUCUCUAAGGAACUCGGCACAUUAGCCCCGUAACUUCGGAAGAAGGGGUGCCCGCUGCCCGCACAGCAAUGUACGGGACACGGGCCACAGUAAAUUGCGCUUAGCGACUGUUUAACAAAAACACAGCACUCUGCCAAGUCGUGAAGACGACGUAUAGGGUGUGACACGUGACCAAUGCGGAAAGAUUAAAGCAUCUUGUCAGCCGCAAGGCGAAGCUCGGUGCUCAAGUCCCCGUGAAUGUCGGCCGUAACUAUAACGGUCCUAAGGUAGCGAAAUUCCUUGUCGGGUAAGUUCCGACCUGCACGAAUCGUGUAACGACUGAGCGACUGUCUCGGAGAGGAUCUCGGCGAAACUGUAACGGCGGUGAAGAUGCCGCCUGCCCGCAGUAGGACGGAAAGACCCUAUGCACCUUUACUGUAAGCUGGUAUGGUGUUCUGGUUAACGAUGCGUAGCGUAGGUGGGAGACUUAGAACGGUCGGCUUCGGUUGACCGGGAGUCGCAAUGUGAAACACCACUCUUUGCUAAUUAGAAUUCUAACCCCGACCUGUCAGCCAGGCGGGGGACAGUGCCUGCAGGUCAGUUUGACUGGGGCGGUUUCCUCCCAAAAAGUAACGGAGGAGCGCGAAGCUCGGCUCAGCACGGUUGGCAACCGUGCGGUGAGGGUAUGGCUACAAGCCGGGUUGACUGCGAGACCAACAAGUCGAGCAGAUGCGAAAGCAGGCCCAAGUGAUCCGAUGGUUUAAUGUGGAAUUGCCAUCGCUCAACGGACAAAAGGUACGCUAGGGAUAACAGGCUGAUCGGGCCCAAGAGUUCAUAUCGACGGCCCGGUUUGGCACCUCGAUGUCGGCUCAUCGCAUCCUGGGGCUGGAGAAGGUCCCAAGGGUCCGGCUGUUCGCCGGUUAAAGCGGUACGCGAGCUGGGUUCAGAACGUCGUGAGACAGUUCGGUCCUUAUCCACUGUGGGCGCAGGAGACUUGAGGGGUUCUUUCCUUAGUACGAGAGGACCGGGAAAGACGCACUUCUGGUGUGGCAGUUGUUCCGUCAGGGGCAUCGCUGCGUAGCCAUGUGCGGAAGAGAUAAGCGCUGAAAGCAUCUAAGCGCCAAGCUUCUCCCAAGAUAUGGUCUCCCGGCCGCAAGGCCCUAAAGACCCCCGGCAGACCACCGGGUUGAUAGGUCAGACGUGCAAGCGCGGCAACGCGUUCAGCGGACUGAUACUAAUUGGUCGUGCGGCUUGAUCGCUCC